This 351-nucleotide ribosomal RNA is filed under the name uncultured bacterium. RNAcentral describes it as "bacterial SSU rRNA". It matches the Rfam family "Bacterial small subunit ribosomal RNA", at positions 335 to 678 of the family's 1533-position model. The record is from RNAcentral.
ACUCCUACGGGAGGCAGCAGUGGGGAAUAUUGCACAAUGGGCGCAAGCCUGAUGCAGCCAUGCCGCGUGUGUGAAGAAGGCCUUCGGGUUGUAAAGCACUUUCAGUCGUGAGGAAGGUGGUAGUGUUAAUAGCACUAUCAUUUGACGUUAGCGACAGAAGAAGCACCGGCUAACUCCGUGCCAGCAGCCGCGGUAAUACGGAGGGUGCGAGCGUUAAUCGGAAUUACUGGGCGUAAAGCGCAUGCAGGUGGUUUGUUAAGUCAGAUGUGAAAGCCCGGGGCUUAACCUCGGAAUUGCAUUUGAAACUGGCAGGCUAGAGUCUUGUAGAGGGGGGUAGAAUUUCAGGUGUAG